Molecule: long non-coding RNA, 1507 nt
Organism: Lagopus leucura (white-tailed ptarmigan)
Lineage: Eukaryota; Metazoa; Chordata; Aves; Galliformes; Phasianidae
Exons: 10
Source: RefSeq, a predicted model, not a curated record
UGCUGCACUUUUUCCCUGGACAAGAAUGAUGGUUUCUCAGAGAGAGUCCAGAAGUCAUCUUUGGAGUCUGGAUGCUAUUUCUGCUUCAGAGUCUCUCUGCCAUGAAAGAAGCAUGCACACAGCCUUCUUCCUCUGCUGCUGCCUGUGAGAUGAAGGUCCAGAUCAUUGUCUUUCAAGGAGAGGCAGAGAUCCUUGUCUUUCAGUGCCCUGUGUGCUAAGCUUUCUCGCUUCCAGCAGUGGGGAAGGGUCAGAGACUGUGUUGUUGUAUGCAUCCUCGGUGGCAUUAUUAACUGGAGCUUUUCAAACAGAUGAAGUAUGUUACUGUGGCUAAAUUGUAAUGAAAGAAGAGAUGGCUGUUUGCCAAUAAAUGAUGCCAUAUGCAACAAAGUGCAGAGAUGGACUAUAGGCUUCCAGCAAGUUACCAACUUUACUGCCAAGGAGGGUGCUAAGAUAGUCAGUCUCCUAAAUACUGAGCUGAUUGUUGCGCGAAAAGUGCAGUAAAGACACCUUUCUACACUGAAAGAAGCUAAAGUGAGUGUUGAGAGAAAUACUGCUGAUAAAAGUGUGUAUUAAAAAUGAAAAUAGACAAGAGGAUGUUAAGUACAAAAAAGAAGAUGCUUGGAGUUGAUGGCUGAGCACAAAUAGCUGCAUACAGCAUCCCCUGCUUUCUUGAAGACAAUGUACCGUAUUAUGGUGGGGAAAAAAAAGAAGAAAAAAAGCAGAUUUCUCUGGACAGCAAUCAUCCUUCAGCUUCUGAGAAAAAACAGUUUGACUGGACAAGAGGACAAAGAAAAGUGGUCCCUUGGAUAAGUGUUGCCCACUGUUCCCUGAUGGUCUGAGGAACGUCUCAGAAGUACAGCUUAGUUUGAAAAUAGUCCAGAAGAUCUGUCUGCUGUUCUUGAACUCAAUGUCAAACCAUGUCUCAGCAGGAAGGCUGCAGUUUUCAAGGUUUCUUAAGGAUGUUUUCCCCUGCGUUUACUGCACAGGCAAAGAGCUUCCUUUCCCUGGGUCCAAGGGCCUGUGACCUACCUGCCAUUUUGUGCCCUCGUGCCUGGUCUGCUCAGGAGGAGAAGCGCAACGUGGAGCACGCCAGGGCUCCAGCACACCCUACAUCGGCCCGACAAAGCUGGUUCCUUCCCGCCCACACAGCCAGAUCAAACAGCCAUCAGGAAACAAUCUGGGAGCCAUACUCCCGCUUGGUACUGCCGCCGGGGCAGUGUAACAGGGCGGGGGGCAGUGCUGUUUCUAGCACAUUCCAAUUGACAACAUCUGGGUCAGCUCCGUUCUGAGCAGCUGCCUUUGCCACAGCCCCUGCUGCAUUGCCUUUCUCUGUGGAAAGCUUUGUUUUGGCUAGGGGUAGGUUUGUUGAGCUUUCGUGUACUGAAGUCUCACACAGAGACUUUCCCUUUGCCCGUGGCAUGUGACCCUGCCAACUUAUAGGCUUGCAUCCCCAAUAAGAAAAACAAUAAAGUUUAAAAACAACAACAACAAAAAAAGUAAAGAUUAA